Molecule: long non-coding RNA, 765 nt
Filed under: Oryctolagus cuniculus (rabbit)
Lineage: Eukaryota; Metazoa; Chordata; Mammalia; Lagomorpha; Leporidae
Description: lncRNA (ENSOCUG00000033656.1)
Source: RNAcentral
GACCCAGAACCUUCUGCGGGCCCAGAAACUGCUGCCGUCACGGAGGCUCCUCCCCCUUCAUGAAUAACCCUCAGCUCAACGUGGACCAGCAGCCAACUCACCUUCCUGAGGAGGUCGGGGCCCAGCCACAGCGACACGGCCUUCCUGCCCCUCCCGGGAGACGAGCCCUGCUGGGGGUGGACACUGCUCCAUGCCAGCCGGCUUAGGCUCCAGGGGCCGCUUCAGUCCCGAGCGCGCGGCCAGGGCCUCGGGGAUCUCACCACACCGUGUCAUCCAUCCAGGGUCCAGACCGUCAGGAGCCUCUAACCGUGGCUGUGGUCAUCCUUGAUCUCCGACUUGCCCGGGGACCGACCUCUUGGGUGUGAAUGUUCAGACCGUAUGGACGAGCCAUGGUGCACGGCCCUUGAAGGGGUGUUCGUGGAGGGCAGGCACUUGAGGCAGCAGUCAAAUCGCCGCUCAGGACGCCCGCCUCCCCGUCAGAGCGCCUGGGCUCCAGGGCCCACUCAGGACACCCGCCUCCCUGUCAGAGCGCCUGGACCCGAGUGCCCACUCAGGACGCCCACCUCCCCGUCAGAGCGCCUGGACCCGAGUGCCCACUCAGGACGCCCGCCUCCCCGUCAGAGCGCCUGGGCUCCAGGGCCCGCUCAGGACACCCGCCUCCCCGUCAGAUUGAGUCCGCUCAGGACACCCGCUUCCAGACAGAGCACCUGGACCCGCCGUGUUCAUUCAAGAUGCCCGCCUCCCAGUCAGAUCGCCUGGUCUCCA